GAUGAACGCUAGCUACAGGCUUAACACAUGCAAGUCGUGGGGCAGCAGUGGGGGUUGCUUGCAAUCCCUGAUGGCGACCGGCGCACGGGUGAGUAACGCGUAUCCAACCUGGCCCAUAGUAGGGAAUAGCCCGGCGAAAGUCGGAUUAAUGCCCUAUGUUCUCCUUUGAUGGCAUCUGACGAGGAGCAAAGAUUCAUCGCUAUGGGAUGGGGAUGCGUCUGAUUAGGUUGUUGGCGGGGUAACGGCCCACCAAGCCAUCGAUCAGUAGGGGUUCUGAGAGGAAGGUCCCCCACAUUGGUACUGAGACACGGACCAAACUCC
This 321-nucleotide ribosomal RNA is filed under the name uncultured Prevotella sp. Its description in RNAcentral is "bacterial SSU rRNA". It matches the Rfam family "Bacterial small subunit ribosomal RNA", at positions 28 to 339 of the family's 1533-position model. The record is from RNAcentral. Lineage: Bacteria; Pseudomonadati; Bacteroidota; Bacteroidia; Bacteroidales; Prevotellaceae.